GACGAACGCUGGCGGCGUGCUUAACACAUGCAAGUCGAGCGGUAAGGCCCUUUCGGGGUACGACGAGCGGCGAACGGGUAGGAGUAACACGUGGGUGGACCUCGCCCUCCAGCUCUGGGAGUAAGACCCGGGAACCGUAGGGCCGUAAUACCGGAUAUGACUCCAUGACGCAUGUUGUGGGGUGGAAAGCCUUGUGCGGCUGAGGAUGGGCCCGCGGCCUAUCAGCUUGUUGGUGGGGUGAUGGCCUACCAAGGCGACGACGGGUAGCCGGCCUGAGAGGGCGACCGGCCACACUGGGGACUGAGAUACGGCCCAGACUCCUACGGGAGGCAGCAGUGGGGAAUCUUGCGCAAUGGGCGAAAGCCUGACGCAGCGACG
This 378-nucleotide ribosomal RNA is filed under the name uncultured bacterium. RNAcentral's name for it is "bacterial SSU rRNA". It matches the Rfam family "Bacterial small subunit ribosomal RNA", at positions 28 to 396 of the family's 1533-position model. The record is from RNAcentral.